This 20-nucleotide ribosomal RNA is filed under the name uncultured Tomentella. RNAcentral describes it as "partial 18S ribosomal RNA". Lineage: Eukaryota; Fungi; Basidiomycota; Agaricomycetes; Thelephorales; Thelephoraceae. The record is from RNAcentral.
CUGCGGAGGAUCAUUACUGA